RNAcentral lists this ribosomal RNA (429 nucleotides) under Chloroflexota bacterium. RNAcentral describes it as "Chloroflexi bacterium partial 16S ribosomal RNA". It matches the Rfam family "Bacterial small subunit ribosomal RNA", at positions 355 to 776 of the family's 1533-position model. Lineage: Bacteria; Bacillati; Chloroflexota. The record is from RNAcentral.
UGGGGAAUAUUGCACAAUGGGCGCAAGCCUGAUGCAGCCAUGCCGCGUGUGUGAAGAAGGCCUUCGGGUUGUAAAGCACUUUCAGCGGGGAGGAAGGCGAUAAGGUUAAUAACCUUGUCGAUUGACGUUACCCGCAGAAGAAGCACCGGCUAACUCCGUGCCAGCAGCCGCGGUAAUACGGAGGGUGCAAGCGUUAAGCGGAAUUACUGGGCGUAAAGCGCACGCAGGCGGUCUGUCAAGUCGGAUGUGAAAUCCCCGGGCUCAACCUGGGAACUGCAUUCGAAACUGGCAGGCUAGAGUCUUGUAGAGGGGGGUAGAAUUCCAGGUGUAGCGGUGAAAUGCGUAGAGAUCUGGAGGAAUACCGGUGGCGAAGGCGGCCCCCUGGACAAAGACUGACGCUCAGGUGCGAAAGCGUGGGGAGCAAACAGG